Neoarius graeffei (lesser salmon catfish) is the source of this 194-nucleotide small nuclear RNA. RefSeq annotates it as U2 spliceosomal RNA. The record is from RefSeq and is a predicted model, not a curated record. The transcript has a single exon. NCBI's taxonomy places the organism in Eukaryota, Metazoa, Chordata, Actinopteri, Siluriformes, Ariidae.
AUCAUUUUUCCGCAUUUUGAUCAGGAUCAAGUGUAGUAUCUAUUCUAAUCAAUUUAACAUUGAUUUGUUCUCUAAGUGACAGUGUUAUAUCAAGCAAAUUUUUUUUAGAGCAACGAGCUGUGAUAGGAGUUCGCUCUUUCGGCUUCAUAUACCAACCUGAUGUUGUAGUAUUUUUUUGUUCUAGAAAUUUUUUU